AUGCAGAUACUGUUAAAACUGAAGUGUUUUAUGGUCUUUUCCUCCUGUUUAAAGCAUUUGGUACAUAAAUAUCUCUAACUCCACUCCAUAAUAAAACAGAGAUGCUUGGUCCCCAACAU
Molecule: small nucleolar RNA, 119 nt
Organism: Chlorocebus sabaeus (green monkey)
Lineage: Eukaryota; Metazoa; Chordata; Mammalia; Primates; Cercopithecidae
Gene: SNORA63
Rfam family: Small nucleolar RNA SNORA63
About the family: E3 belongs to the H/ACA class of snoRNAs and is involved in the processing of eukaryotic pre-rRNA and has regions of complementarity to 18S rRNA.
Source: Ensembl